UAGGGAAUCUUCCACAAUGGGCGCAAGCCUGAUGGAGCAACACCGCGUGAGUGAAGAAGGGUUUCGGCUCGUAAAGCUCUGUUGUUGGAGAAGAACGUGCGUGAGAGUAACUGUUCACGCAGUGACGGUAUCCAACCAGAAAGUCACGGCUAACUACGUGCCAGCAGCCGCGGUAAUACGUAGGUGGCAAGCGUUAUCCGGAUUUAUUGGGCGUAAAGCGAGCGCAGGCGGUUGCUUAGGUCUGAUGUGAAAGCCUUCGGCUUAACCGAAGAAGUGCAUCGGAAACCGGGCGACUUGAGUGCAGAAGAGGACAGUGGAACUCCAUGUGUAGCGGUGGAAUGCGUAGAUAUAUGGAAGAACACCAGUGGCGAAGGCGGCUGUCUGGUCUGCAACUGACGCUGAGGCUCGAAAGCAUGGGUAGCGAACAGGA
RNAcentral lists this ribosomal RNA (430 nucleotides) under uncultured bacterium. RNAcentral's name for it is "bacterial SSU rRNA". It matches the Rfam family "Bacterial small subunit ribosomal RNA", at positions 355 to 777 of the family's 1533-position model. The record is from RNAcentral.